ACAUCAGAGUUUCUGGUCUGGUGGGUGGAGCCAGAACCACUGAUUCUGGUCUGUCUGCCACCAACUAUGAUUCACUGAACCCCAGAGCUGGCAGGGCAAUAGAGGGCACCUAGCACACCACCCUACACCCACUCCAGGCCUCAGAAGAGCCCUUCUAAGGUCCCUGGGCUGGGCCAGGGUGGGGGUUGCCUGAUGGCAAGCUGUGGCUGUAGUUAGCAUGAGCUACUUGGCCCUAGGGAUCAAGUAUUACAGAAGGUAUUUGUAUUUGUUUGUAUUUGCUGAGGCGUGGCAGGGGGAGGGGAAGAGAGCUUGUGAGAGGCCCUGCAGUACUUCACACCCUCUUUGGAUAUCCUGAAGUUUGCCUCAUACCCAAGCAGAUGUAUUGAUUAGCAGGGCAAGGGGAUCUCUUCCUCCUUUCUGUCCGUGUCCCAUACUUGUGAAAAGGGAGAUGGCCAAGUUUUAUUAUACAAGUUGGAUCU
Molecule: long non-coding RNA, 479 nt
Filed under: Bos taurus (domestic cattle)
Lineage: Eukaryota; Metazoa; Chordata; Mammalia; Artiodactyla; Bovidae
Description: long non-coding RNA NONBTAT007216
Source: RNAcentral